UACAGAGGUGGCAAGCGUUGUUCGGAAUUACUGGGCGUAAAGGGCGCGUAGGCGGCCUUCUAAGUCAGACGUGAAAUCCCCCGGCUUAACCUGGGAACUGCGUCUGAUACUGGAGGGCUUGAGUGCGGGAGAGGGAUGUGGAAUUCCAGGUGUAGCGGUGAAAUGCGUAGAUAUCUGGAGGAACACCAGCGGCGAAGGCGGCAUCCUGGACUGGUCCUGACACUCAUGAGCGAAAGCGUGGGGAGCGAUCCGG
RNAcentral lists this ribosomal RNA (253 nucleotides) under uncultured bacterium. RNAcentral describes it as "partial 16S ribosomal RNA". It matches the Rfam family "Bacterial small subunit ribosomal RNA", at positions 524 to 776 of the family's 1533-position model. The record is from RNAcentral.